Molecule: transfer RNA, 55 nt
Filed under: Contracaecum osculatum
Lineage: Eukaryota; Metazoa; Nematoda; Chromadorea; Rhabditida; Anisakidae
Description: tRNA-Leu
Source: RNAcentral
AUGCCCUUAGUAUAAUAAAUAUAUUAGGUUUAGGACCUGAAGAUUGUAGAGCAUU